UAGUCCACGCCGUAAACGAUGGAUACUAGCUGUCCGCUGCCUUGAGCAGUGGGCGGCCAAGCGAAAGUGAUAAGUAUCCCACCUGGGGAGUACGUUCGCAAGAAUGAAACUCAAAGGAAUUGACGGGGGCCCGCACAAGCGGUGGAGCAUGUGGUUUAAUUCGAUGAUACGCGAGGAACCUUACCAGGGCUUAAAUGCAUAAUGACAGGUUUAGAGAUAGACUUUCUUCGGACAUUUUGCAAGGUGCUGCAUGGUUGUCGUCAGCUCGUGCCGUGAGGUGUCAGGUUAAGUCCUAUAACGAGCGCAACCCCUACCGUUAGUUGCCAGCAUGUAAAGAUGGGGACUCUAACGGGACUGCCGGUGCAAACCGUGAGGAAGGUGGGGAUGACGUCAAAUCAUCACGGGCCCUUACGUCCUGGGGCUACACACGUGCUACAAUGGUAGGGGACAGAGAGCAGCCACUUCGCGAGAAGGGAGCGAAUCUAUAAACCCUAUCACAGUUCGGGA
Molecule: ribosomal RNA, 507 nt
Filed under: uncultured bacterium
Lineage: Bacteria
Description: bacterial SSU rRNA
Rfam family: Bacterial small subunit ribosomal RNA
Source: RNAcentral